This is a non-coding RNA of Sus scrofa (pig), 565 nucleotides long. NCBI's taxonomy places the organism in Eukaryota, Metazoa, Chordata, Mammalia, Artiodactyla, Suidae. The record is from RefSeq and is a predicted model, not a curated record.
GGUCCUGGCUGUCAGACCUCCCAGCUCUGCCUGCUCCCAGGUGGGCUUCCUCCCAGCGGUGACCCCCAGCUCUGUGACCCCUGCUCUGCCCCCUCCCUGCCUGGCCAACGCUCUCAGCCCUGCCCAGGAAACACCCUGCAACACAGCAGGCCCACCUCGGUGAUACGGGACACGGUGGCUGCCCCGUGGGAACCGCCCUUUAUGACCUCUGCUCACAGCUGCCUGUGGCACCCCGAGGCGGGCCUUCCUGGACCCCAGGGGUGGUUCCACCAGCCCUCCUCCAGGACCCACCUUCCCGGGGAACUAGCCUCCCCAGCUCACAGGGGGCAGCCACGGAGGGCCAGGGAGAACCCCAACCCUCGAGGCCUCGGAGGGCCCCUCCGCGGGAAGCAGCACAGCACAGCAGCUUCACAGGCAAGAGCACUUUAUUGAACCCAGUUGUGGACAGGUAGGUCUCUAGCACCUGCUGUAGGAAGGGGAGGGGGUGGGGCAGGGCCAGUGUGGAUGGUGGGGGACUUGGGCUGGGCCGUGGAUGGCUGCUGGUAGCCUCCCUGUUGCCUUAAAU